This 253-nucleotide ribosomal RNA is filed under the name uncultured bacterium. RNAcentral describes it as "partial 16S ribosomal RNA". It matches the Rfam family "Bacterial small subunit ribosomal RNA", at positions 524 to 776 of the family's 1533-position model. The record is from RNAcentral.
UACAGAGGGGGCAAGCGUUGUUCGGAAUUACUGGGCGUAAAGGGCGCGUAGGCGGCCUUCUAAGUCGAACGUGAAAUCCCUGGGCUCAACCCAGGAACUGCGUCCGAGACUGGUGGGCUCGAAUCCGGGAGAGGGAUGUGGAAUUCCUGGUGUAGCGGUGAAAUGCGCAGAUAUCAGGAGGAACACCAAUGGCGAAGGCAGCUCGCUGGGACGUGACUGACGCUGAGACGCGAAAGCGUGGGGAGCAAACAGG